RNAcentral lists this ribosomal RNA (256 nucleotides) under uncultured bacterium. RNAcentral's name for it is "partial 16S ribosomal RNA". It matches the Rfam family "Bacterial small subunit ribosomal RNA", at positions 524 to 776 of the family's 1533-position model. The record is from RNAcentral.
UACGUAGGGUGCAAGCGUUGUCCGGAAUUAUUGGGCGUAAAGAGCUCGUAGGCGGUCAGUCGCGUCUGCUGUGAAAACUCGGGGCUUAACUCCGGGCCUGCAGUGGGUACGGGCUGACUAGAGUGCGGUAGGGGGAGAUUGGAAUUCCUGGUGUAGCGGUGGAAUGCGCAGAUAUCAGGAGGAACACCAAUGGCGAAGGCAGAUCUCUGGGCCGUAACUGACGCUGAGGAGCGAAAAGCAUGGGGGAGCGAACAGG